UUCGGUCCCUAUCUGCCGUGGGCGCUGGAGAACUGAGGGGGGCUGCUCCUAGUACGAGAGGACCGGAGUGGACGCAUCACUGGUGUUCGGGUUGUCAUGCCAAUGGCACUGCCCGGUAGCUAAAUGCGGAAGAGAUAAGUGCUGAAAGCAUCUAAGCACGAAACUUGCCCCGAGAUGAGUUCUCCCUGAGACUUAAAGUCUCCUGAAGGAACGUUGAAGACGACGACGUUGAUAGGCCGGGUGUGUAAGCGCAGCGAUGCGUUGAGCUAACCGGUACUAAUGAACCGUGAGGCUUAACCUUACAACGCCGAAG
This 313-nucleotide ribosomal RNA is filed under the name Salmonella enterica subsp. enterica serovar Infantis. RNAcentral's name for it is "partial 23S ribosomal RNA". It matches the Rfam family "Bacterial large subunit ribosomal RNA", at positions 2630 to 2925 of the family's 2925-position model. Lineage: Bacteria; Pseudomonadati; Pseudomonadota; Gammaproteobacteria; Enterobacterales; Enterobacteriaceae. The record is from RNAcentral.